GAUGAACGCUGGCGGUAUGCUUAACACAUGCAAGUCGAACGGUCACUUCGGUGAUAGUGGCGGACGGGUGAGUAACGCGUGAGAAUCUGUCUUCAGGUCGGGGACAACAGUUAGAAAUGACUGCUAAUACCGGAUGUGCCUUUGGGUGAAAGAUUUAUUGCCUGAAAAAGAGCUCGCGUCAGAUUAGCUAGUAGGUGGUGUAAGAGACUACCUAGGCUCCGAUCUGUAGCUGGUCUGAGAGGACGAUCAGCCACACUAGAACUGAGACACGGUCCAGACUCCUACGGGAGGCAGCAGUGGGGAAUUUUCCGCAAUGGGCGAAAGCCUGACGGAGCAAUACCGCGUGAGGGACGAAGGCUUUUGGGUCGUAAACCUCUUUUCUCAAGGAAGAUGAUGACGGUACUUGAGGAAUAAGCAUCGGCUAACUCUGUG
RNAcentral lists this ribosomal RNA (432 nucleotides) under uncultured bacterium. RNAcentral's name for it is "partial 16S ribosomal RNA". It matches the Rfam family "Bacterial small subunit ribosomal RNA", at positions 28 to 507 of the family's 1533-position model. The record is from RNAcentral.